UCUCUUCAUUGUUUGUUGGAAUUUCAUAAUCCUCUAAUAUGAUCUUCCAUACUCCAUUGUUGAUUGACUUCAAGUAUAACUUCAUCUUGUUCUUCCAGAAGUCAUACUUUACUCCAUCGAACCUGGGAGGUUUGUUUGACGCAAGACCAGUGUUGAAUUCACCAUUUGGUGUCAUAGUUGUUGUUGUAAGAUGUUAGUCAAACUUCAACGGUACUUGGCUCUGAUACCACUUGUUGGAUCGAGAUCCGAGGCUAUAAGGGGAGAUAAUAGCCUCUUUUCGAUUUAUGCAAGUUAAUAGCGGAAUUACCUGCACACACUUAAGUACACAAAUGGUUGUAUAAUAAUAAUAGUAUAAUAUUGUUAGCAAUAUAAUACUAUUAUAUCAUUUUAAAGAAUAUAAUAUUAUAUCUUAUAAUAUUAUAUAUAUUGGACUUGCCUUUUGCUCUUGAAGUUUACUACAGUAUAUGAAUACGUAGUCAACUUUUUAGAUGGUGUUUUAUAAACAACUAUAGUAUAUGAAUACUAAGUUAUAUUAUAAACACAAAUUAUAUUAUAGAGUAAAUGACCAGAUAACUGGAUAUAUUGAUAAGCAAGUAAAUGACUAGAUAACUGGAUAUAUUGAUAAGCAAGUAAAUGACCAGAUAACUGGAUAUAUAUAUGAUAAGUAAAUGCUUGAACAAAUAUAUGAAUAAGGAUUUAAAGCAAUUAAUAUAACCUCAGAUAGUUGACCAGAUAACUGGAUGAGGGAUCUGCGUAAAGUAGUCAACCUCUGUAUUUGACCAGAUAACUGGAAGAGAGAUCCUUUUCAAUUAAGUGUUGUUUAGUUGUUUUUAGAUGAAAGAUAAAAACUAGAGUUAACAAAGAACAACACAAGAGAUUUAUACUGGUUCACCCAAACAAGGGCUAGUCCAGUCCCGACCAACUGUCAGAAUUCACUCGCCUAAAGGUUAUGGCAAAACCUUAGAGUAUCAAGGAAACUCUUAAGAACCUCUCUAAGCUUUAAGGCUAGUUCGCUUAGGAACCAGUCUUUUACGGGUAGACUCACACCUUAGAGUAUCAAGGGCACUCUUAAGAACCUCUAACUUUUGCGGGUAAGUUAGUACCUUAGAGUAUCAAGGAACUCUUAAAAACCUCUCUAAGCUUUAAGGCUACUUCGCUUAGGAACCAGUCUUUUACGGGUAGACUCACACCUUAGAGUAUCAAGGGCACUCUUAAGAACCUCUAACUUUUACGGGUAAGUUAGUACCUUAGAGUAUCAAUGAACUCUUAAAAACCUCUGAAAUCUUUCAAGGUAGACUCGACCUAAGAGUUUUCCCGGAAACUCUAUAAAACCAAACUAGAGCUUUAUGGUUGAGCUCAAAAACCUUCUCUCACACUUUGGUACUAUUGAGACAACCCUCUCAACCAAAGUGGACACACACAAGAGGUGAUUAGAGGAGUGGAAUAUUAAAGCAAACAACACUUCUUACUUGUAAAGAUGAACAAGAAGAUUAGAAGAAGAAGUUGGAGAGCUUUUGAAGCUUUGGAAAGCUAGGACACUUGAGCACUUGAAAGCUUGGAAGCUUGGAGGCAAAAACGUGUGGGCAAGUGUGGAGUGAAUGCUCUUGAGUUUGCUUGUAGUGUGGUAAGUGAAAAUGAGGGGUUUACCCUUCUAUUUAUAGCCUUGGCCACUCAAUGUCCACCCUUGGAUCUUCAAUGGAUGGCUCCUUGAUUUCUCACAUAAAUCCAAGCUUUGUCUUUGAUCUUAUCUUGAAUAGUGCUUUUAUUGGAUAGAGUUUGUUGGAGAAUCUUAUCUUUGUAUAAAUUCAAACUUGAAUAGUGUUUUGUCCCCUUGGAAUAUUAUACCUUGAAUAAAGUGUCAAAAGAUAAUAAUAAUAAUAUUCAAGGUAAAAAUGCAAUUAUUUCAAAUAAUAUUCAAGGUGAAAAUGCAAUUAUUCCAAAUAAUAAUAUUCAAGGUGAAAAUGCAAUUCUCCCAAUUUGACUUUUAACUUUGACUUAAACCCUUAACUCAAAUCAUUAAUUAAUUAACUGGAGUUAGGUUUAAUAUCGAUUGACUAUUUAACCCAUAUUGAUUAAUAGUGUAAUUAGGGUUUAAAUUGACAUGAUUAAAAUAUAAUCCUAUGUCGACAAUUUUGAUUCUACACUCGCAACCCCGCGAGCCUACUGGUAGCAGAUUUCGUGCUUCAUCAGGAACUAAAUUCCAGGUCUUGUUAUCAAUCAAAGCUUUAUAUUCUUCUUUCAUUUUUUGAAGCCAAUGCGGUGUUGCCAUGGCUUGUUUAUAGUUCUUAGGUGUAUCUUCUAAAUUUUUAACUACCUCUACCACCAAAGCCUUUGGUAGGUUAACUUCAAAAAUAUUAUAUUUUGUUGGAAAUUUUGAAGUUCUACCUCCUCUUCUUAGAUGAGUGUGUGUGUUAAACUCAUUUACUAAGUUUUGAGGUAUUGUUGUAACUACUGGUUGAGGUAUUGCUGUAGCUACAGGUUGAGGUAUUCUAGUGGCAGAUUCUUCUGUUUCCUAAAUUUCCGAAUGAUGACUUCUUCCUUCAUUUUCAGUUACAAUUGUUGGUGUUGUAGUGGGAAUCCUAGUGUUAUCACUUAUAUCUUCCGAGCCUUGAUUUUCUCUUGAAGUUCCUUGAAUGUCACUUAUUGUUCGAGAAUUCAGAGUUUGCGCAUUAUUGUUUAUUUUCAUGGGAAGUGGAAGUCUAAUGUUAUUUAGACUUGUUUUCUUAACCAUAUCAUUUAUAUCUGAUUUGAUCUUAUAGUCUUUGUAUGGAAAAGUAUCUUCAUGAAACUGGACAUUCCUGGAUAUUAUUAUCUUAGAAUCCUUAAGUCUAAAGCAUUUAUAUGCUUUAUGAGAUUGUGAAUAACCUAAGAAACAACAAUAACAAGAAGUUGAUUGAAACUUGUUUCUUAAAUGUAUAGGUAUGAGAGGAAAACAUUAGUGACCAAACACUCUAAGAUAUUUAAUAUCUGGUUCUCUAUCAUAUAACAAGGAAUAAGGUGAAUUAUAACCUAAUUUCUUGGAAGGUAAUCUAUUUAGAGUAUACACAGCUGCACUGCAAGCUUCUACCCAGUAGUCUUUUGGUAUUUCAGAGUGAAAGAAGAAACACCUUGCCAUUGACACAAGAUGUCCAUGUUUCCUUUCUACCAAACCAUUUUGUUCAGGAGUGAAUGGAGUAGACAAUCUGUGUUUAAUUCCAUGUUUCUUACACAAAUUACUAAAUUUAGCAUUCAAAAAUUCACCACCACAGUCUGAUUGUAUUGUUAUAAUUUUACACUCCAACGAGUUUUCAAUCAGUUUUUGGAAUUCUCUAAAUUUCUCAAAAACUUCAUCCUUAGUUUUUAAAGGAUAAAACCAUGAAAAUCUUGAAUAUUCAUCAACUAUAAGUAAAUAAUACUUACGACCAUGAAUUGAGGGAAUGGGGGCAGGACCCCAUACAUCCAUGUGAAUUACUCCUAAUGGCCUGUUGCUAUACUUUGUUUUAGAUUUAAAGGGCAAUUUUUUCAUUUUAUUCAUUGGACACACAACACAUUUUUCUUUGCAUUCACUUGUUUUAAUCUUAUGUAUUUUAAAUAGUUCAGAAAUUAUUUGAGAUGAUGGAUGCCCACAUCUCAUAUGCCAUAUGUUAUAUGGUAUUGUUAAAACAGAAGGAUGUGCAUUAUGUUUAACUAUUGAUACAUUACAUUUAAGACUAUCAUCCUGUUUAAACACACAAACCAUUUGAUCCAAUACCAUUUAAAAUCUGUUUUCCAGAUUUAUUGUUAUUUUCUGAAAACUUAUCACCCUUUAAUAUAACUUUACAAUCUAAAUCAUUAGACAUUGCUUGUAAAGAAAUCGAAUUCAUUUUUAAUUUUGGAACACAUAAAGCAUUUUUGAGUAUUAAAUCGCCAAAUUUAGAUUUAAUUUUCAAAUUUUCAAUAUGUGAUAUGUGUAAGCCUAAAUCAUUACCAAUUAUUAUAAAGGAUUUACCUGAGUACUCCUGAGUCUCUGAUAAAUUAUCGAGAUCAGGAGUCAUGUGAGCAGAUGCUCCGGAGUCUAAAAUCCAAUUCCCUUCUGAAGAAUCGUCAGUAACAACAACAGUUAGGGCUUUAAGAAUUUUUCUGCAGGUCUUAGCAGAAUGACCUGGUGUUUCACAGAUCUGACAAAUAAUAGAAGAAUUAGGAUUCUUAGAUCUCCUUCAUCGAUUCUUUGAUGAAUUAUUUCUUUUCUGAUUAGGGUUGGAAUUUUCUUUCUUGUUUUUAUACUCAGUUUUCUUGUAAUCAUUUGGGUCACCCCUGUAGUCAUUUCUGAAAUCACAUCCAGAACGAAAUUUUGCAGCAAAGGCAGCACCAGAAGCAUCAUCAGAUUUUGGGUUAAUUUGAAAAUGACGCUUUAGAAAUGCAUCUUCUCUAAUAAUCAGAUGAAUGAACUGUUCAAACAAAAGAUUCGGUUGUGAGUGGAUAGAUGACAUGAACGGGCGAUACUCAGCAGCCAAACCAUCACAAAUGAAAUCAAUCUUAUCUCUAUCUGCGAGAUGAUCACCCGCAGCAGUCAAACUGUCAAUAAGAGCAUGAACUUUAAUAACAUACUCCGCCAUGCUCUCGGAGUCAGAUUUCCUCAUCAUUCUAAGCUCAUCCCUUAAGCUUUGUGAGUGGCAAAUUUUUCUUGGCGAUAAGUGAAGAUCAAGGUUCUCCCAGCAGGCGCGUGCACUGUCAUGAUUUAACACAAGAGAGAACAUUGACGAGCCAACAGCAGCUUGAAUCCAUCCAAGAAUGAUGAAAUUCUUCUUUCUCCAGAUAUAAUAUAACGGAUUGUCACUUCCAUCAGGAUUCUUUUCUUCUGGUGUAACGGUCUUUGGAUCUAUAAUAUCAGACACAUCAUGAAUCUUAAAAAGAUUCUCCAUCUGAGAUUUCCAAAAGAGAUAUGUUCCACCACUCUCUAAAGGAACCCUGAUCCAGUGUGAUACAUUGCACUUAUGAAGUUCGUCAAAAUGGUUUGACAAUGAAGAGGAACCUUUACUAUAAACCAUUAUUAAGAAGCUAAUAUACAGAUCCGGAAGCCAGCGAUCGUUGAGAGAAGAAGAAAAAAUUGAAAUCACGGAAGCACAAAUCGGAAAAUGCUAAAAAAUCACAACUGCCAGGUCGUGUUCUGACAGAAAUCACAGAAAUAUCAAUUCUGCAAUUUCUUGACAGAUCGUGCAACUGAACUUGCCACAGAUCGUGCAAUUUCUCAAGGAGAUUGUCCCAAAUCGGCAACUGAAAUCGCCAAAACUGAUCAUACAACGAUUUCCACACUGACGGACAUGGACAGAUUGAAAUCGCCUGCUCAAAUCUUCUGCCCCAAAAUAAAAUCGCGGAAAGAUGAUCUGCUUAAAUCACACACAGAUCGCCGUGCUGAAAAAUUUCUGUGAAGAAGAAAUCGCCGCGAGUGGGAGAAGAAGAAGAGGAAGAUUCCUGUUAUCACCGUGCUGAAGAGAUCGGAUGGUCAAGAGGAGCUACAACUGAUACCAUGUUAAAUACUUCAACUCUUGGAUAUUCAGAUCAACGAUCAAGCAAACAAAGAACAAGAAAUGUAUUUCAUAGAAUGAAUUCAAAUCAAUAAUCCACAACGAUAUCUAUCUAGUAUUUAUAUCAUGACUUAACUAAUUAACCACUAAUACUAAUUAACUAGAGAGAAUAUCUAACUAUGGUUAACAAAGAUAAAGAGUGUAAUUAAUCUUGCUAACAGAGAGAACAUCUGAAAUAUUCAAAUGAUUUCCUAAAGUGGAACUUAAUGACAGAAAAGUUAAGACAUCUGAAAUCUACAUUCACAGGAACUCAAUGAAAUGCAGGAAGUAGAAUUAAAUGAAGAAUCACUGUAAAUGCUAUGAAAAUGAGAAUAUCAAUUGAAAAUAAGAAAUCAGAAUGAAAUAUGAAAAUUACUGGUUUGAUUAAAAAAUAGAAAAUAACCAAUUAAAAUAAUAAUCUGAGAAUGAAAGAAGAAAAUUACUGGUUCGAUUAGAAAAUAUUGAUUCUUGUUGUGAUUGUGUUCUCUGAUUGCGUUUUCGAUUCUUAUUUUGAUUACGUUUUCAGAUUUUUUUUGAACUCGAUUGGUUUUGAUCAGAAAUCGUUUUGAAAUCGGUUUGAAAUCGAUUGAUUGUUUAGGUUUUGAUCGCGAUCUGAUUUACUCGAUUGCGUUCAGAACUUGUUCGCGAUCAGUUUUUUUUUUGAACUUGUUCGUGAUCUACAUGGCGAUCUGAUCGAUUCGAUCAGGCACUCGUCUAUUCCCUAUUCGUGGAAAUCCCCGACAGAAGAAAGAGGUGUUGGCGAUCUGGAUAUUAUCGUAUUCCAUGGAUCCGCUUGUGAUCUGUUUGCGAUUUAAUUUCUGGGAAAUCGCGAUUUAAUUUCUCGUCGCUUGUGAUCUUGCGAUUCUUAUCUGAUUACUGAUUGCGAUCUCUCCUGAUUGAGAUCUACUAAUUUGGUGAUUAGUGAUUGCAAUUUUGAGGUGUGAUAUUUACUGAUUAGUGAUUGCGAAUUAUUCACAUUUGCAAUAUCACAUUACUGAAUAGUCAAUUUAAUUAGUGAUUACUGUUAUGUUCAGAUUUUUUUUUUAAUUCAGAAAAUGUAAUAUCACAUUUGCUUUGCAGGUUUAUGCUAAUAUUGAAGAAAUAUUCUUUGUCUGCAUAUACUAUAUUCUCCUCUGUUUUUUUUUAUUACUGAUUGAAUUUUUUCUCUCCUCUGUUUUGAUUACUGAUAUAAUCAAAUUGUGCAGAUGAAUGCUGAUUACUGAUAUAAUAAAUUUGGUAAUCAAAUUUAUUAUUCAUGAAUGCUAGCUACCAUGAAGAAAAAUCUAGAAAAUGUUCAAGCUAGGAUGAAGCAUCAAGUUGACAAGAGUAGAUCUGAUGUUGUGUAUGAAGAUGAAACAUGGGUACUGGUUAAAUUACAACACUACAGACCGACCACAGUAGCUAACAUAACUCAUAAUAAGCUAUGCCAAAAAUACUUCGGCCCCUAUGAAAUAAAGAGGAAAAUCAACAGAGCUGCUUAUAAAAUCAGAUUACCUCAAGGCAGAAAAAUACAUGAUACAUUUCAUGUUUUCAGAUUGAAGAAAUCUUAUGAAUCAGAUUACCUAAAGGCAGAAAAAUACACGAUACAUUUCAUGUUUUCAGAUUGAAGAAAUUUUAUGGCCCGCCCAAUUCCUGAAAACCAGCCUACAAAUGAUAUCAUGGUUUAAGUUAGCAAUAAACCAAUUAUCUAUCCUAUAGCAGUACUGGAUACAAGAAUGAGUGGACAGGAUAACAAAAGAAAGGUUUCCCCAGAAUUGUUCAAAAGAUGCAAAAAAAUUAAAGCACACUGCGUUUUUAUUACAUCUUAGCUAAACUACACUGCAGAUUUCAGACACUACAACAGUUAUAUAUAGUUAGAGUCAAUCUAGAGUUAAUAGUACAUUAGCUGUUAUAAUAAGUAAUAUAGUUAAUUAGUUAGUUUAGAUUUUUUAGUUACAGGCAAUAGACCUUUGUUAUAAAUAAUGUAUGACUAGUUGUUUAGAAGUAAUUUUCAUUCUUGAUUCUACUACCCAUGAAGAUGUUGAUGAUUGAAUACUACCCAUGAAGAGUGGAUCAAGAUGUUGAUGAUUGAAUAGUAUCCCAUGAAGUUUGAAAUAUCACAAAACAUCACCAUCUCCUCCAAACAAUCAGCCAGAAGACAACUUAUCAUUAUAGCCAUUAGUUUGAAUAUGAAUAGAUCGAAAUAAUGUGUUUUUAUGACUAAUUGAGACCAUUUUUUGGAUACUACUAGGGCGUCAAAUAAAGCCCGGCUCGGGCUCGCGAGCCCUAGCCUCUAGCUCGUUAAGCUCGAUGGGCUCGGUAAGGAUUAUAAAAAAUUAAAAAAAUAUUAAACUUAGAGAGAAUAGAUGUGUAGUAUAGUUGGUAAAAGGUUUGUUUAAUAUUUGAAAAGUCAUAGGUUCGAUCUUUCAUGUCUACAAAUAAUUAUUUUUUUAAUUCGAGUCCAGAAAGUAUAAAAAACUAAAAAAAUAUUAAAUUUAGAGAGAAUGGAGGUGUAGCGCAGAUAAUAAAUCAUUUGUUAAGCAUGUGAGAGGUCACGGGUUCGAUCCUCCAUGUGAGAGCUCGCGGGCUUGAGCCUGAGUCCGAGCUUGGAAAAUAUCUGACGAGCCGAGCCUGAGCCCGAGCUUGGAAAAUAUCUGAUGAGCCGAGCUUGAGCCCGAGCUUGGAAAAUAUCUGCCGAGCCGAGCCUGAGCCCGAGUCCAUAUGAUAUCUCAACGAGCCCAAGUCCGGUUCUAUAAGCAAAAGCUCGGCUCAGCUCGUUUGACACCCUAGAUACUACCAUCGAUAUCCAAAUGUAAGUGUUCCAAUUUUUUGAAAUAUAUUUGACAAAAUAGACGAAUCAAACCAUUUUCAAACUUGAUGGAUAAUGUAUAUACAGAUUUUCCAUCAUUUGAUAAUGCGACUCAUUUUCGUAUUUUAUCUUUUUUUCUCAUAACCUAUGGUAUUCGUGACGACCCAUAUCCAGGCAACGUUGCUUGGAUAAUAGUGAAAUAAUGAAUAAUGCAAAAUAUUUAGUUUACUCGAAUAAAUCCAGGCUAACUAAUUUGUAAUAACACACAAGUACCAUAAAUAUUAACCACUAAAUUAAAAGAAAACUAAAUAAACUACUUUUUUUUUAUAAUUUUUUCCAUUGACCAUAAUUCCAGGCAACGUGGGUAACUUUCCACUAACAGAGUAACCACUCACUAAUAAGAUCGUACAAUAAUCAUCCAUUGCCGCCCGUGAUCGUCGUCGAGGCCAUUUGUGGGGAAGCUCCUCCCUAGCACACACCUCUCCCUAUCCUUGGCUUUUGCGACUUUUUGGUUAUUCACAGACACAGGUUCGUUGUUCGACUCUCCGCCAACAAUUGUUUGAGUCGGCCGAGGAAAGGCUUGAGAAUCUUCAUUUUGCCACACACUAUGAGAAUCUUCAUUUUAAAGAAAGUCCAGCUAGCUGAUCUACGGGAGUAUUUUGUUGUUGCUGCUGGACAACGUUUCUGAGCACUUCCAUUGCUUCACCAACCUUUGCUUUUAGUGCCUCGGGUGAUUCCAGCAAGUGCAGAACUUCAGUUUGGUCCAUCUCAAGAAGCAUUCCAGUAACCUUAGCAACCAUAUCAUGCUCAAUUUGAUCAACAAGUGGGUACAAACUUUCUCUAAGCAUCUACAAAACAAAACAAAAAAUUAUAUUGAAAACUAGAACAAAAAACUUCAAUAAAUAUAUAAAAGACUUGUAAUGUAUAAUAUCCUCUGCAGAUCAGUAGGAGCGUUAGCAAGGGAUGAAUCCAGUGCUGAGAUAGGUAUAGGCUGUGAUAUAGCGGCAUCUCUUCCAGGAAAACCACCCAUGUCAAAUGGAGAAGAAAGCAUGCCACAACUUGUACCAAGAAUCGGCAUAUCAGGUAUGUUUCUUCCAGGUGGGAAACGAUACAUCCUUCCAUCACCCCUUGGAAACAUCUGCAAAACAGAAGACAGAAAGAAUGAAAUCAAGAAUGAACUCUCAUAGAAAACAAGAUAAAGAGUAAAAAAAAUAUAAGCCAGAAAACCUGUUGCUGAACCAUCGGCAUUGGUUGCAUGGGUCUUCCUGGUUCAGUACGCCUACCACCUCCGGGCCUUGGCCAAAAUAGAGCACCUCCAAGCCUCAUACCAAGAAUAAGUGGUUGUUGAUAACCAAAACCAGGCUAAAAAAAUAUCAGCACAUUAGACUCAGAAAAUCUUACAGCAUUGGAAGCCUCUUCAACGGUUGAGAAAGCAACAAAACCAGAGCCUCUACUAACUCCAUUACUAUCGACAAUGAUUCUUAUCGACGGUCUUCUUAAUAUUCUGCUCAUAUUUAGCCUUCAGUUCUUGCUCCCUUUCAGAUUUCUUUAGAGCCUUAUCAACAUACCACUCCUUGUCAACAAAUUUUUUCCCAUUAAGAGAAUCAACAUCAUUUGCAGCAUCUUUAGAAUUAUCGAAAUUGACAAAACCAAAACAUUUCGACUUUCCAUCACCUUCUCUCAUCACAACAGCACUUGUGAUUUGUCCAAAUUCACUAAAAACUUUUUUCAGGUCAUCUUGAGUCAUUGUUCGAGAAAAAUUCUUAACAAAAACAUUGUUAAAUUUCACAUUGUAUGGGGGGGGGUUAUUAUCUCUAUCCUGCUUGCGCAAAAAUGGACCUACAAACACUUUCUUACCAUUAAGUAGUAUUCCAUUUAGCUUUUCUAUAGCAAAUUGUGCAGAAUCUUUUCUUCGAAUUGGGCUUAAUAACUACUGAUAAAUAUAAUCACUACCUGUUAGAGUAACUACUUUGUUAGUAACUACUUUCCUAUAAUAUCUAAAUAAACGGAAGUAGUUAUAGAAUAUUACUAGAGUAAUAAAUUGUAUAAAUAGAUAUGACUAUCAAACAUAAAGGUGAUCGAGUUUGGUUUUCUCAUUUGAUACAUUUCAAUUGACUAUUACGGGAUUGACGAUGUUAAAACAUGCGAGAAUGUCGACAGAAUAUUGGGAUUACGUGUUUAUGACAGCAGUACAUUUAUAUAACAGAAAUCCAACCGUAAUUCUUGAUUACAAGUCACCGUAUGAAGCAUUGUUCAAACAACUCCAGAAUACAACAGAUUGCAUGUUUUUGGAGCAAAGUGCUUCCCAAAUCUUCGUCCGUAUAGAAACAACAAACUCCAAGACAAAUCUGAACCAUGUUUAUUUAUGUGAUAUCCGGUAAAUUCAAAUGGAUAUAUUUGUAUGAGUGCAGGUGACGGAAGAAUUAUCAUAUCACGCGAUGUAAUAUUCAUUGAUGAUAAUUUCUUAUUAAGGAAAUCAGAUGACAAAUGCAACGAUAAGGGAAAUGAACCUGAUGAGGAGAGCUGUUUAAUUGAAGAAUAUGUACCCAAAGAUGGUCAAAAUUUCCAAAGCACGGGCUGCUGCAAAAUAAAAUUGUAAAACAAUUUAAAGAUACUAGAAUAACAAUAACAUUAGUAAAACAUUUUAUAAACAAUGAAAAAAACAAACAAGAAUAAAAAAUAUCUUGGAAUAUAUCUAAAUAUAAAAAAACAAUCAACAAGAAUCGAUUUGAAUGAAAUUAUUACCACACAUAAUUUAUUUGUUAUGAGAACAGAAAAAGGUAAAAAAAAACGAUAAAAUAGUAACAAUUUAAAAAGCAAGUCUGAUUGAAAUAUAUAUGAUAGCAAAAAAUAUAGGUUAUUUUUAAUAAAACGAGUGAGUAUAUGCAAUAAAUAGAUGAUGAAAAAGAAGAGAAUACCCUCCGGAGGAUGGUUGUAAUUGACAUAUAUGCAUACCCAAGAGACCUUCUGUAAGGCUCUACAGACCCUUACAGAAACGACCUAUCUGAGCAGACUGAAUAGGUCAAAAACUUACAAAUCAGUUACUGUGGGAUCUAAAUCUCCGACAUAUAGAGAUGUUAGACUGUGAAAGGGAGCACCAGCAGUAGUUUCAAAGUAUCAAACAGCAAAAUAACCUGGUUUGUAGACUUCAGAAGAGCUUGUAUGGGUUGAAGCAAGCACCUCGAAGUGGUACAAGAAAUUUGAUAGCUAUCUCAGUGUCAUAGGCUUCAAGAGGUGUGACACGGAUUCCUGUUGCUACAGAAAGCAAUUGACCGAUUUCUAUAUUAUUCUUGUCGUUUAUGUUGAUAUGCUCAUUACUAGUGCAAACAUGAAAGAGAUAAAUCAUCUGAAGAAACAACUUUCAAAGGAAUUUGAGAUGAAAGAUCUGGGAGCAGCGAUUUUGGACAUGAGGAUCAUCCGGGAUGAGUCCUCAGGAAUUCUGAAACUGGGUCAACAAAGGUACAUUGAAAAGGUUCUUGAGAAGUUCAGCUUUGCAAACGAAUCGAAUUCGAAUAUCCGGAUAUUAAACGAAUUCGAAUUCGAAUAUGAUGGUAUUCGGUUCGUUUACAUGCCUAGUGUUAUAAAAGAUGACUGAGUUUUGCACUUUCUCCUUCUCCUGAUUUCUUCAAAAAUAAUCAGGUCCCUAAUAUCAUUCCACUUAAGCUUUCCAUGACCAAUAGAGCUGCUCACACUUGUAGCAACUUGUUCCCGACUUUCUGGUAGAGAUGAUAACAAAAUAAGUGCUCUAAGUUCAUCGUCAAUGUUGAUAUCCACAGAGGACAACUGUGUCAACAACACAUUUACUUGAUUCACAUGAUCAACAACAUUUGCUUCUUCACUCAUCUUGAGAUUGAACAAAUUACGCAUCAGAAAAACUGUUUGUUGCUGUAGGCUUUUGAUACAUAUUCGUCAAGGUUUCCAACACCUCUAUUGUCGUGGUGCACUUGGAGAUGUUGAAGGCAACGUUCUUAGCCAAGGUGGGUCUAAUAAGGCUAAUAGCUUUUCUGUCGAGAAGCUUCCAAUCUUCAUCACUCAUAUCUGCCGGUCUUGUGCCCAACAUCGGAGCAUGAAGGUUCUUUGCAUAAAGGUAGUCCUCUAUUUGCAUUUUCCAAUAUGCAAAAUCGCUCCCUUCAAACCUAUCGACCCUAUGCUUUAUUUCAUCUACUAUUUCAAACACAACUACUGCUCUGGAAAGUCUGGAUACACGUCGAUAGGGGGUUUACAAACCCUAACCAGGAAAGCCACGAUCUGAAAAACCAAAAAAAACAAAAAACCACCGACCAAAAAAAAGAAACUGACAGACCAAGAGGAUUCCUGGUCUGAAAAAAAGAAACUAAAUACACCGACCAGGAAGAAGAACUAUGAUCUGAAAGCCAUAGACACGUUGACCAGAUGACCAGGAAUAUCCGCCGACUGGAAGACAGCGGAACGCCGGUCUGGAAAACCUUCCCUUUGAAAAAAAAAUCGAUAUGGAAAUACCCGCCGGCUGGAAGACAGAGGAACGUAGGUCUGGAAACCCUCCCUCAAAAAAAACCUCGAUCUGGAAAUCAGGAAACACGUCAACUUUUGCUCUUCUCUCUUCGAUUUUAAUCCAACCUCGCUCUGAUACCAAUUGAUAGGAUCGAUACCUAAAUCGAACUGAGAAAACCGAGCGAAAACAAACACAAUACACAGAAUUUACGUUGUUCGGCAAUGUGCCUACGUCCACGGGGGUGUCUCCAUUCUUCUUCUUUUUCUCUCAAAAAGAGUACAAGUAAUUAUAAGAUACUUAUAUGGGUGAUUAGGGUUGUCGUUUUGUGUUUGUAACUCCUAAUCUCUAUUACAAGGCUUAAAGCCCAUUUAACAGAAUUAAUCAUAUUUUAAUUCUAAUGCUCAUAAAAGACCUACAUUAAUUCUAAUUAUAAUUAAUGCCCUUCUAAAAAACGUCUCAACACUCUAACUAAUGGAGCAAUUAAUCAAUUGAAAUGAAACAAUACCUCAAGAUAUCGUGGAUGAUAAAAAAUCUGAAAUUCCAACACUUCAGUUUCAGCAAGAAAAGAUCUAUUGGAAUCCACCAAUAGCUCCACUAGAAUCCAUUAGUAGAAUAGGAAAAAUCAGAUAGGAGUCCACCUGAUCCGAUGAAGAAUAAGCAAGAAUCUCAAGAGUUUUUUUGAGAAAAACGUAGGAGAGAGAAAAGUAGAGUAAUUUCACCUUUGGAAAAUAUAUGCUACGGGUUUGAGUCCACUCCUAUUUAUACUCCCAAUGUAUAAGAGUGGAAAUUCCACAUUGGGAGUUGGACAGUCCAAUUAAAGAGACUGAGCCAUGGCUCGAGUUAACUCGAGCCAAUGACCUUGUAGAUCAUUGUAAUGGGCUACAUCACUAACAAAUUCAACAUUUCCAACACCUUCAAUAUCUCAGAUCUACAAACCUACUAUCCACUGGAUGAAGGACCGGUUUACGGACAUUCGAGGUCGACUGUCGCCGCAGUGGAGGCGCUUGAUGAAGGAGCUGUAGGGAAGUCAACGCAGCCCACGGCGUAACAGCAAAUGGGUAAGUUAGGAACGACUAACUGACCGAACGGCGACGUCAUUAAUUAUAAAAAUUGGAGGCUGCAAGGACUUCGGGGAAGAUGUUUUGCUUACCUCAAGGUACUACCUCUUCACUGCUCUCUCAGUUUCGUUCCUUCGUCUUCUCUAAUUUCUAUGGUGGAAUCCAGAUUCUAUCAACCGGUGGAUUCCGGCUCGGCGACGUGAUCUGUUCGGCGUCUCUCUAUCGCAACUCUGUCAAGUUGCCCGUGUGUAAAUCUGCAAUUACAUAUUCUAUGUUAAAUGAGUCUUGGGCCAUUAUGAUCCAUUACAAUUAAAUAGGUUUAAUUCUAUGUUAAAUGAGUCUUGGGCCUUGUAAUGAUGAUUAGGAGUUGCAAACAUAAAUCGGCAACACUAAUCAUCAUUAUAAAUAUCUUUUAAUGCUUCUAUUCUGUUGUGAGGGAGAAAGAAGAAUAGCUGAGGCACCCCGUGGACUUAAGCACAUUGUUGAACCACGUAAAUCUGUGUUUUCUUUUUCUCAAUUCGAUUUUAGGGUUCUUCUUAUCAUACUUCCAUUCAUCUGGACAAGUUGAAUUCCAGAGAGAAGUCCCAGCGAAACAGAGCCAGAGCAACUGAAGAGUUUGAGUUGAUUUUCGCGUGCAGCUUUCAACUUGACGCUUGUUUAAAGCGUCUUCGAGCAUUGAUCGGAUUCCACCCUCAUCAGUUAUGAUGGGAUAAAAAAUAUCAUUAUUUACUACGAAAAGAUGAUAAAUACCAUUCAGAUCCAAUAUACAAAAAAUGGACAGGGCCAUGGUUCCGGAUGCACGCGCAUAUGCGCAGAUGCGACCUCCCUUAGCCGGAUCCGGUCAUGAAUUAAAAAAAAACUGGCCAAAAAAAAAAAAUUUAAGUCCGAAAAAAUAUUUUAAGGUCAAAAAUUUAUUUUUAUGCCAAAAAUUUAUACAUUGGUCCAUGAAAAGAGCUAUAUUAUUUUUAAUAUAAGCUCCUCCCACUCUUAAGACUUCAUAUUUGUUUUAGACAAAAUGAAUCUUUAUUUAUAAACCAACCUUCUUUGUGUUUUUUGAAUUCUAUCGAUGUUAGACUAAAAAAGUGUAGUUAAAUAAAUUAUAAAGUAUUCUUUGUACUUUUUGAAUUCUAUCAAUGUGGUAUAAAUAAAGUGUACAUGUAUUAAAUAAAUUAUAGUGUUAUAUGCAUUUUUUAUAUCCUAUCAAUAUAGGACUAAAUAAAAUAUACAUGUGUUAAAUAAAUUAUAGUGUUACAAUGAAUUAUAGGGUGUUAUAAUAAUUAAUAAAUAUAUGUAUUAUAAUAAUUUUUCUAUCCUGAAAGUCUCCCCAAAGCAGAGGGAGGCUUAGGGGUCAGAAACCUAGGAAUCAUAGUACCUGCCAUAAAUAUCAAAAGAAUUACAAACUUCUGGACAAAAUCAGACUCAAUCUUUAACACAUGGAUCCAAGAGAGAUACAUAAAAGGACGAGCCCUCACAAACAUCCUUGUCAGGACCAUCAUUGACUCCCAUUUUUGGAAAUAUGUAAUGGCAGACAACCCCAAUGCUAUUGCACUAGUUGAAUGUAGGGCCAAUUAUACAACCCUUUGGAAAAAUGGAAACCCAAUCAGAAAACUUGCAGCAAUAUGUGAGGAGAUCAGGGAUAAAAUCCAUAAGGAUAGCCUAGCUGAAGGAAUAUGGACUCAUAAACCCACAAAGUUUUCCAUUUUCUAUGGAGGAUAAAGUGGGCACACCUAAACACCUUUAUCAAACUAAAUGGAUGGGGUAUGCCAAUCCAGCCCACAUGUUUAUUAUGCAAUAUGGAGAAUGAAUCCAGAGCCCACCUAUUUUUCAAUUUUUCCUACUCUAGAGCCAUCCUGCUUCCCCUGGUUAAAAACUUAAAUAACAUUUUCUGGAAGAUACUAAAAAUACCCACUCCCACCACCACUCACCCAGAUAUUAGAAUAGGGGACCUAACCGAGGAAUGUCAAAGGCUGCCACAUCACUCUCCAAUUUGGGGAAGCACCCAUGAAGGAAGAUAGUUCAGAUGAUGAGUAUGAUGAUGAAGCAUCUCCAGAUGAAGGAGAGAGAUUUUCAUGCAUAAUCCAGAGAAUAUGCCACACACCUCAACAAGAGCUGCAAAGUCAGAGGAAUAAUUUAUUCAGGACUAGAGGCACAAUUAAAGGAAGGGUCUGUGAUAUUAUAAUAGAUAACGGAUCAACUGGUAAUCUGAUUUCGUGGAAUGCAGUGAAAAAAUUAGGUUUAGAGGUGGAGGAACACAAAAACCCUUACAGUGUAUGGUGGAUUCACAGUGGGAAUUCAGUAGCUGUGGAUAAAAGUUACAGUAUUUGCAUUUUCCGUACUUUAAUAGAGAUCAAAACACAUUCUAUGAUUGAGAUCUGCUGAGUUACUAAUAUUGCAUUUUGAUUUAUUGUGUCAUUUGAAUGAAAGCUGACAGUAUAACAAAAGUAAAAUACAUGUGACCAUGGGGAUAUCAACGGGAAGUAAUGAUGUUUAAUCAUAAUGGCUACAACUGUAUUAAAAAAAUCGUUAUCUAAUAUGGAACAAUGAUAGAUUCAGUUGGUGUUCAAUAUACAAAAAAUGAACAGCUUGUGUGGACUGAUAAAAUUGAUAAAAAAAGCAGCAAUAACAACCAUAAAGAGGCCAGAUCUCAUCAAUAUUGUCUUUUAUUAUAUCACUGGGCACUAAAAGUAUGAAUUAUUGUUUCAUAAAUCAAUUUAAUAGGGAUGAAAAUAUUUAUGUAUGCUAUAGAAGUUAGGAGUUCGAUAUAUAGAAGUAUAGAAUUUAUGUAUUGACAUGAUCACAUGAAUCCAUGGCUAUAUAUGCCAGGGUCAGCCAUUAAAGAAAGCAACAAUGUUUUACAUAUUCUGUUAUGCUUUUUAGCCUUACUACCUGUAUUUAAUUUCUCUAUAAUUCUACUCGAGCUAUGCCCACCCAUUUUAUUUUCAGCAAUGAAAUUUUCAAUUCAUUGGAAAAAUAUGAUCACAUGAAGAUACCAAUUAUUUAUCAUUAACAAAAUCAUUUUUUCUUUCAAACAUUUUCUCAUACAGUUAAAACUUUUCAAUAAAAUAAGGACCAAACCUAGCUUACAUGAUAGAUUGGGAGAUGAGCAAUUGAGCAUGGUCACAAACUCACCACCUUGAUCCUAUUGAUUGAAGCCGCAAAAUAUAGAAUUCCCAUUAAAUUAUAUCAUUGACCUUAAUCCGAUUCAGAUUGGGUUUUGGUUAUCAAAAUAGAUUGUAACAUCCUUAGUAUUAGUGCAAAGAAACGAUUAAAGUUAAUUACAUAUAUUUGUUAGUUGUUGACUUUAUAGAUAUGCUCUAAUCUCUAUCAAAAAAUUAAAGGGUAUAGAGGUGUAAUAACAUUAUGUGUGUGUGUUUACACUGGCAAUAACAACCUCAUUUGUUAUUCUAAUUUCUAGAUCUAGCCCACCAUCAAUCUACCUUCACUCAUCAACACUUAGAGAUAUGCUUGCUUGGCGAGUUCUUUCGGAGGUCUGAGGAUGAAUUGCUUGGAUCUUCCGUUUCUCUCACACCAGAUGUUUCAAGCUAGUGAGCCAAGAAUUGCUCAUUACAACUCCAACAGCUAGAGUGUUUGCUGAACUUUUCUAUCCCCUAUUCCUCUCAAUGAUGUCCUCAUUACUGUCCUGUGGGGUAGGAUGUUAAGUUUUAUCCAAAUAGUUGAAUAUAGAUGGUUUUGGAUGAGGUUGAUAUAGGAUCUUCCGAACAUAAGACACAUGAUAAUCCUCCUACUCGAACCUUAAAUAACGGUGAUUCCUUAUCCGAAAAAAUCAUCUCGAAAUAUCUGAAACCAUCUCGGGUUAUGUCUUGUGAUAAAAACGUACUAUGUUUGAUAUGUCAGGUAUUUUGAUUUCUUCAUUAACCUCAAAUGAAUAUCUACAUGAGUGUUUAUAUCAAUUGAAAAACAAGUAAUGACUAACAAAACUAACUAUCUAUUUAGUUAACUAACUAAUAUAAGCAGUGAAUCAAUCUUAUUUUCUCUGAACCAAUGAAUGAAUCACUAAUCUUAAUUGACAUUAUCUUCAGGAAUAUUUUGAGAUGAUGAGAAGGUCGGAAGAUUGUAUUGUGACCAUAAGUUCCACUUCAGUUGCAUAAAGAGUUGGUUGAUUAUAUAGAAUAAAUGUGUCCCAACUGUAGAGCGAGUGCGAUCGGCCUUUUAAAUUCACUGUGAGGUUUAUGUUAAAAGAUAGAGUAGUGAAACAUGGUUUUUUCGAAUGUACUUGACUUUAUUGACCAAUCGAUGACGAUCUUAGAUGAUCGUACGAAAAUUGUAUUCAAUCGAUCAGUAUUUUGCAUGAAUGUAAAUGAUGAUUAUAAUGUUCAUUUAUAGUGAUGAGUAAGUUACACAACAACAACUAUUUAGUUAGUUAUGUUACUUAUGUAAAUGGAUUAGCUUUGCCAAAUCCGUAACACCCUCUCUCAAGUGGAGCGGGUGUUCUGUGGAACUCUGAUACCAUAUUGACUAAUCGAUGAUGAUCGGAGAUAAUCGUAGAUUGUAUUCAAUCAAUCUGUAUUUUGCAUGAAUGUAAAUGAUGAUUAGAAUGUUUACUUAUAGUGAUGAGUGAUGAGUUAGUUACACUAUAAUAACUAUUUAGCGAGUUAUGUUACUUAUGUAAACGCAUUAGCUUUGCCUAAUCUGUAACAAACUUAAUUCUUCUCUUUAGAUUAACCUGUGAGUUUAAUUAGGAUUGUAAUAGUAGUGAUUAGUAUAAGCUAAAUUGCAUGUAUUGAUUGUCUAAAGUUUGUAAAUUUUCUAUGAAGUCUUUUACUGAUUGUGAAUUCUGAUAAAUUCUUUUUAGUGGAAGAGAAAUUUAUUUUGAAUCUUUUUUAUAAUUAAACUCGUCUCAUAAAAUGUUGACGUCGAGAUUAAUUAGCAAAAUCUAAUGUAUUGUAUUUAAAUCGCCGUACUGUUCUCAGACCACUGUAAUGUACUGAAGUUCCAUCGAGCCGGCAGACCUGCUUUCACCAUAUCGACGGUCAGGUAAGGUUAAUUACUUAAUUAAUACUCUAUUUCUUUUGUUAUAGUUGGUUUUAGACGAAAUCGAUGCAGAAUCAAUCGGAUUGAUGAUACCCAAUCGCUCUUCUACUCCAACCUCAAUUUUAGACUAGCUUUAAAGUUUUUCCUAAUGACUUAACUUUCAUAAAUACAAUUUUUUUGACCAUGAAACUAUAAAAGUGAAAGGUUGGUUGAUUAAUGCUGUUUUUUUUUUCUUAUAUCAUAGAUCAUAGAUGGUUUUGGAUGAGGUUGAUAUAGGAUCUUCCGAAUAUACGAUACAUGAUAAUCCUCCUACUCGAACUUUAAAUAACGGUGAUUCCUUAUGAUUCCUUAUCAGAAUAAAUCAUCUCGAAAUAUCUGAAACCAUCUCGAGUUAUGUCUUGUGAUAAAAACGUACUAUCUUCGAUAUGUCAGGUAUUUUGAUUUAUUCAUUAACCUCAAACGAAUGUUUACAUGAGUAUUUAUAGCAAAUGAAAAACAAGUAAUGACUAACAAAACUAACGAUCUAUUUAGUUAACUAACUAAUACAAGCAAUGACAGUUAUUUUCUCUGAACCAAUGAAUGAAUCUCUAAUCUUAAUUGACAUUUUUUUCAGGAAUCUUUUGAAGAUGAUGAGAAUGUCGGCAGAUUGGAUUGUGACCAUGAGUUCCACUUCAGUUGCAUAAAGAGUUGGUUGAUUAUACAGAAUAAAUGUCCCAACUGUAGAUCAAGUGCGAUCGGUCUUUUAAAUUCACUGUAAGGUUUAUGUUAAAAGAUAGAGCUGUGAAGCAUGGUUCUUUCGAAUGUAAAUGACUUUAUUGACCAAUCUAUGAUGAUCUGAGAUUAUCAGAGAUGAUCAUACAUAGAUUGCAUUCAAUCAAUCUGUAUUUUGUAUGAAUGUAAAUGAUGAUCACAAUGUUUAUUUAUAGUGAUUAGUGAUGAGUUAGUUACACUACAACAACUAUUUAGUUAGUUAUGUUACUUAUGUAAAUAGAUUAGCUUUGCCUAAUCCGUAACACCCCCCUUCAAGUGGAGCGGGAGUUCUGUGGAACUCUGAUACCAUAUUGACCAAUCGAUGAUGAUCGGAGAUGAUCGUAGAUUUUAUUCAAUCAAUCUGUAUUUUGCAUGAAUGUAAAUGAUGAUUACAAUGUUUAUUUAUAGUGAUGAGUUAAUUACACUACAAUAACUAUUUAGUUAGUUAUCUUACUUAUGUAAAUGGAUUAGUUUUGCCUAAUCCGUAACAGACUUAAUUCUUCUUUUUAGAUUAACUUGUGAUUUAAUCAGGGUUGUAAUAGUAGUGAUUAGUAUAAGCUAAAUUGCAUGUACGGAUUGUCUAAAGUUUGUAAAUUUUCUAUGAAGUCAUUUGCUGAUUGUGAAUUCUUAUAAAAUUCUUUUUAGUGGAAGAGAAAUUUAUUUUUAAUCUUCUUUAUAAUUAAACUCGUCUCAUAAAAUGUUGACGUCAGGAUUAUUUAGCAAAAUCUAAUGUAUUGUAUUUAAAUCGUCGUACUGUUCUCAGACCACUGUAUUGUACUGAGGUUCCAUCGAGCCGACAGACCUCCUUUCACCAUAUCGGUGGUCAUGUAAGGUUAAUUAUUACUUAAUUAAUACUCUAUUUCUUUUGUUAUAGCUGGUUUUAGACGAAAUUGAUGCAUAAUCAAUCGGAUUGAUGGUACCCAAUCACUCUUCUACUCCAACCUCCAUUUUAGACUAGCUUUAAAGUUUUUCCUAAUGACUUAACUUUCAUAAAUACAAUUUUUGUGACCAUGAAACUAUAAAAGUGAAAGGUUGGUUGAUUAAUCCUGUUUUUUUUUCUUAUAUCACAGAUAGUUUUGGAUGAGGAUGAUAUAGGAUCUUCCGAACAUACGAGACAUGAUAAUUCUUCUACUCGAACCUUAAAUAACGGAAAUUCUGUAUCAGAAAAAAUCAUCUCAAAAUAUCUGAAACCAUCUCAAGUUAUGUCUUGUGAUAAAAACGUACUAUGUUCGAUAUGUCAUGUAUUUUGAUUUAUUCAUUAACCUCAAAUGAAUGUUUACAUAAUUAUUUAUAGCAAUUGAAAAACAAGUAAUGACUAACAAAACUAACUAUCUAUUUAGUUAACUACCUAAUACAAGCAAUGACAGUUAUUUUCACUGAACCAAUGAAUGAAUCUCUAAUCUUAAUUGACAUUUUUUUCAGGAAUCUUUUGAAGAUGAUGAGAAUGUCGGCAGAUUGGAUUGUGACCAUGAGUUCCACUUCAGUUGCAUAAAGAGUUGGUUGAUUAUACAGAAUAAAUGUCCCAACUGUAGAUCAAGUGCGAUCGGACUUUUAAAUUCACUGUAAGGUUUAUGUUAAAAGAUAGAGCAGUGAAGCAUGGUUCUUUCGAAUGUACUUGACUUUAUUGACCAAUCUAUGAUGAUCUGAGAUGAUCAGAGAUGAUCGUACAUAGAUUGCAUUCAAUCAAUUUGUAUUUUGUAUGAAUGUAAAUGAUGAUUAUAAUGUUUAUUUAUAGUGAUUAGUGAUGAGUUAGUUACACUACAACAACUAUUUAGUUAGUUAUGUUACUUAUGUAAAUAGAUUAGCUUUGCCUAAUCCGUAACACCCCCCUUCAAGUGGAGCGGGAGUUCUGUGGAGCUCUGAUACCAUAUUGACCAAUCGAUGAUGAUUGGAGAUGAUCGUAGAUUUUAUUCAAUCAAUCUGUAUUUUGCAUGAAUGUAAAUGAUGAUUACAAUGUUUAUUUAUAGUGAUGAGUAAUAAGUUAGUUACACAACCAUAACUAUUUAGUUAGUUAUCUUACUUAUGUUAAUGGAUUAGCUUUGCCUAAUCCGUAACAGCCUUAAGUCUUCUCUUUAGAUUAACCUGUGAUUUAAUCAGGGUUGUAAUAGUAGUGAUUAGUAAAAGCUAAAUUGCAUGUACCGAUUGUCCAAAGUUUGUAAAUUUUCUAUGAAGUCAUUUCCUGAUUGUAAAUUCUCAUAAAAUUCUUUUUAGUGGAAGAGAAAUUUAUUUUUAAUCUUCUUUAUAAUUAAACUCGUCUCAUAAAAUGUUGACGUCAGGAUUAUUUAGCAAAAUCUAAUGUAUUGUAUUUAAAUCGUCGUACUGUUCUCAGGCCACUGUAUUAUACUGAGGUUCCAUCGAGCCGGCAGACCUCCUUUCACCAUAUCGGUGGUCAUGUAAGGUUAAUUAUUACUGAAUUAAUACUCUAUUUCUUUUGUUAUAGCUGGUUUUAGACGAAAUUGAUGCAUAAUCAAUCGGAUUGAUGGUACCCAAUCACUCUUCUACUCCAAUCUUCAUUUUAGACUGGCUUUAAAGUUUUUCCUAAUGACUUAACUUUCAUAAAUACAAUUUUUUUGACCAUGAAACUAUAAAAGUGAAAGGUUGGUUGAUUAAUCCUGUUUUUUUUUCUUAUAUCACAGAUAGUUUUGGAUGAGNNNNNNNNNNNNNNNNNNNNNNNNNNNNNNNNNNNNNNNNNNNNNNNNNNNNNNNNNNNNNNNNNNNNNNNNNNNNNNNNNNNNNNNNNNNNNNNNNNNNGGUGAUUCCUUAUGAUUCCUUAUCAGAAUAAAUCAUCUCGAAAUAUCUGAAACCAUCUCGAGUUAUGUCUUGUGAUAAAAACGUACUAUCUUCGAUAUGUCAGGUAUUUUGAUUUAUUCAUUAACCUCAAACGAAUGUUUACAUGAGUAUUUAUAGCAAUUGAUAAACAAGAAGUGACUAACAAAACUGACUAUCUAUUUAGUUAACUAACUAAUACAAGCAAUGACAGUUAUUUUCUCUGAACCAAUGAAUGAAUCUCUAAUCUUAAUUGACAUUUUUUUCAGGAAUCUUUUGAAGAUGAUGAGAAUGUCGGCAGAUUGGAUUAUGACCAUGAGUUCCACUUCAGCUGCAUAAAAAGUUGGUUGAUUAUACAGAAUAAAUGUCCCAACUGUAGAUCAAGUGCGAUCUGACUUUAAAAAUCACUGUAAGGUUUAUGUUAAAAGAUAGAGCAGUGAAGCAUGGUUCUUUCGAAUGUACUUGACUUUAUUGACCAAUCUAUGAUGAUCUGAGAUGAUCAGAGAUGAUCGUACAUAGAUUGCAUUCAAUCAAUUUGUAUUUUGUAUGAAUGUAAAUGAUGAUUAUAAUGUUUAUUUAUAGUGAUUAGUGAUGAGUUAGUUACACUACAACAACUAUUUAGUUAGUUAUGUUACUUAUGUAAAUAGAUUAGCUUUGCCUAAUCCGUAACACCCCCCUUCAAGUGGAGCGGGAGUUCUGUGGAGCUCUGAUACCAUAUUGACCAAUCGAUGAUGAUUGGAGAUGAUCGUAGAUUUUAUUCAAUCAAUCUGUAUUUUGCAUGAAUGUAAAUGAUGAUUACAAUGUUUAUUUAUAGUGAUGAGUGAUAAGUUAGUUACACAACAAUAACUAUUUAGUUAGUUAUCUUACUUAUGUUAAUGGAUUAGCUUUACCUAAAUUAAACCCGUCUCAUAAAAUGUUGACGUCGGGAUUAUUUAGCAAAAUCUAAUGUAUUGUAUUUAAAUCGUCGUACUGUUCUCAAACCACUGUAUUGUACUGAGGUUCCAUCGAGCCGGCAGAUCUCCUUUCACCAUAUCGGCGGUCAUGUAAGGUUAAUUACUUAAUUAAUACUCUAUUUCUUUUGUUAUAGCUGGUUUUAGACGAAAUCGAUCCAGAAUCAAUCGGAUUGAUGGUACCCAAUCACUCUUCUACUCCAACCUCUAUUUUAGACUGGCUUGUAAGUUUUUCCUAAUGUCUUAACUUUCAUAAAUACAAUUUUUCUGACCAUGAAAAUAUAAGAGUGAAAGGUUGGUUGAUUAAUGUUGUUUUCUUCUUCUUAUAUCACAGAUGGUUUUCGAUGAGGUUGAUAUAGGAUCUUCCGAACAUACCACACAUGAUAAUCCUCCUACUCGAACCAUAAAUAACGGAGAUUCUGAUCCGAAAAAAUCAUCUCGAAAUAUCUGAAACCAUCUCGAGUUAUGUCUUGUGAUAAAAACGUACUAUGUUCGAUAUGUCAGGUAUUUUGAUUUAUUUAUUAACCACAAAUGAAUGUAUACAUGAGUGUUUAUAGCAAUUGAUAAACAAGUAGUGACUAACAAACCUGACUAUCUAUUUAGUUAACUAACUAAUACAAGCAAUGACAGUUAUUUUCUCUGAACCAAUGAAUGAAUCUCUAAUCUUAAUUGACAUUUUUUUCAGGAAUCUUUUGAAGAUGAUGAGAAUGUCGGCAGAUUGGAUUAUGACCAUGAGUUCCACUUCAGCUGCAUAAAAAGUUGGUUGAUUAUACAGAAUAAAUGUCCCAACUGUAGAUCAAGUGCGAUCUGACUUUAAAAAUCACUGUAAGGUUUAUGUUAAAAGAUAGAGCAGUGAAGCAUGGUUCUUUCGAAUGUACUUGACUUUAUUGACCAAUCGACGAUGAUCUGAGAUGAUCAGAGAUGAUCGUACAUAGAUUGCAUUCAAUCAAUUUGUAUUUUGUAUGAAUGUAAAUGAUGAUUACAAUGUUUAUUUAUAUCGAUUAGUGAUGAGUUAGUUACACUACAACAACUAUUUAAUUAGUUAUGUUACUUAUGUAAAUAGAUUAGCUUUGCCUAAUCCGUAACACCCCCCUUCAAGUGGAGCGGGAGUUCUGUGGAGCUCUGAUACCAUAUUGACCAAUCGAUGAUGAUCGGAGAUGAUCGGAGAUUUUAUUCAAUCAAUUUGUAUUUUGCAUGAAUGUAAAUGAUGAUUACAAUGUUUAUUUAUAGUGAUGAGUGAUAAGUUAGUUACACAACAAUAACUAUUUAGUUAGUUAUCUUACUUAUGUUAAUGGAUUAGCUUUACCUAAAUUAAACUCGUCUCAUAAAAUGUUGACGUCGGGAUUAUUUAGCAAAAUCUAAUGUAUUGUAUUUAAAUCGUCGUACUGUUCUCAAACCACUGUAUUGUACUGAGGUUCCAUCGAGCCGGCAGAUCUCCUUUCACCAUAUCGGCGGUCAUGUAAGGUUAAUUACUUAAUUAAUACUCUAUUUCUUUUGUUAUAGCUGGUUUUAGACGAAAUCGAUCCAUAAUCAAUUGGAUUGAUGGUACCAAAUCACUCUUCUACUCCAACCUCCAUUUUAGACUGGCUUAUAAGUUUUUCCUAAUGUCUUAACAUUUAUAUAUACAAUUUUUUUGACCAUGAAAAUAUAAAAGUGAAAGGUUGGUUGAUUAAUGUUAUUUUUUUCUUAUAUCACAGAUGGUUUUGGAUGAGGUUGAUAUAGGAUCUUCCGAACAUACGACACAUGAUAAUCGUCCUACUCGAACCUUAAAUAACGGAGAUUCUGUAUCCGAAAAAAUCAUCUCAAAAUAUCUGAAACCAUCUCGAGUUAUGUCUUGUGAUAAAAACGUACUAUGUUCGAUAUGUCAGGUAUUUUGAUUUAUUCAUUAACCUCAAAUGAAUGUUUACAUGAGUGUUUAUAGCAAUUGAUAAACAAGUAGUGACUAACAAAACUGACUAUCUAUUUAGUUAACUAACUAAUACUGUUAUUUUUUCUGAUUCAAUGAAUGGAUCUCUAAUCUUAAUUGACAUUUUUUUCAGGAAUCUUUUGAAGAUGAUGAGAAUGUCGGCAGAUUGGAUUGUGACCAUGAGUUCCACUUCAGUUGCAUAAAGAGUUGGUUGAUUAUACAGAAUAAAUGUCCCAACUGUAGAUCAAGUGCGAUCGGUCUUUUAAAUUCACUGUAAGGUUUAUGUUAAAAGAUAGAGCAGUGAAACAUGGUUAUUUCGAAUGUAUUUGACUUUAUUGACCAAUAGAGAUGAUCGUACGUAGAUUUUAUUCAAUCAAUCUUUAUUUUGCAUGAAUGUAAAUGAUAAUUACAAUGUUUAUUUAUAGUGAUGAGUUAGUUACACUACAAUAACUAUUUAGUUAGUUAUGUUACUUAUGUUAAUGGAUUAGCUUUGCCUAAUCCGUAACAGCCUUAAUUCUUCUCUUUAGAUUAACCUGUGAUUUAAUCUGGGUUGUAAUAGUAGUGAUUAGUAUAAGCUAAAUUGCAUGUACCGAUUGUCUAAAGUUUGUAAAUUUUUUAUGAAGUCAUUUUCUGAUUGUAAAUUCUCAUAAAAUUCUUUUUAGUGGAAGAGAAAUUUAUUUUUAAUCUUCUUUAUAAUUAAACUCGUCUCAUAAAAUGUUGACGUCAGGAUUAUUUAGCAAAAUCUAAUGUAUUGUAUUUAAAUCGUCGUACUGUUCUCAAACCACUGUAUUAUACUGAGGUUCCAUCGAGCCGGCAGACCUCCUUUCACCAUAUCGGCGGUCAUGUAAGGUUAAUUACUUAAUUAAUACUCUAUUUCUUUUGUUAUAGCUGGUUUUAGACGAAAUCGAUCCAGAAUCAAUCGGAUUGAUGGUACCCAAUUACUCUUCUACUCCAACCUCUAUUUUAGACUGGCUUGUAAGUUUUUCCUAAUGUCUUAACUUUCAUAAAUACAAUUUUUCUGACCAUGAAAAUAUAAGUGUGAAAGGUUGGUUGAUUAAUGCUGUUUUCUUCUUCUUAUAUCACAGAUGGUUUUCGAUGAGGUUGAUAUAGGAUCUUCCGAACAUACGACACAUGAUAAUCCUCCUACUCGAACCAUAAAUAACGGAGAUUCUGAUCCGAAAAAAUCAUCUCGAAAUAUCUGAAACCAUCUCGAGUUAUGUCUUGUGAUAAAAACGUACUAUGUUCGAUAUGUCAGGUAUUUCGAUUUAUUUAUUAACCACAAAUGAAUGUAUACAUGAGUGUUUAUAGCAAUUGAUAAACAAGUAGUGACUAACAAAACUGACUAUCUAUUUAGUUAACUAACAAUGACAGUUAUUUUCUCUGAACCAAUGAAUGAAUCUCUAAUCUUAAUUGACAUUUUUUUCAGGAAUCUUUUGAAGAUGAUGAGAAUGUCGGCAGAUUGGAUUAUGACCAUGAGUUCCACUUCAGCUGCAUAAAAAGUUGGUUGAUUAUACAGAAUAAAUGUUCCAACUGUAGAUCAAGUGUGAUUUGUCUUUUAGAUUCACUGUAAGGUUUAUGUUAAAAGAUAGAGCAAUGAAAUAUGGUUCUUUCGAAUGUACUUGACUUUAUCGACCAAUCGAUGAUGAUCUGAGAUGAUCUGAGAUGAUCAGAGAUGAUCAUACAAUGAUUGCAUUCAAUCAAUUUGUAUUUUGUAUGAAUGUAAAUUAUGAUUACAAUGUUAUUUAUAGUGAUGAGUAAUGAGUUAUUUACACUACGAUAAUUAUUUAGUUAAUUAUGUUACUUAUGUAAAUGGAUUAGCUUUCCCUAAUCCGUAACACCCCACCUCAAGUGGAGCGGGAGUUUUGUGGAGCUCUGAUACCAUAUGGACCAAUCGAUGAUGAUCGAAGAUGAUCGUAGAUUGUAUUCAAUAAUCUGUAUUUUGCAUGAAUGUAAAUGAUGAUUACAAUGUUUAUUUAUAGUGAUGAGUUAGUUACACUACAAUAACUAUUUAGUUAGUUAUGUUACUUAUGUAAAUGGAUUCGCUUUGCCUAAUCCGUAACAGACUUAAUUCUUCUUUUUAGAUUACUCUGUGAUUUAAUCAGGGUUGUAAUAUUAAUGAUUACUAUAAGCUAAAUUGCAUGUACUGAUUGUCUAAAGUUUGUAAAUUUUCUACGAAGUCAUUUGAUGAUUGUGAAUUCUCAUAAAAUUCUUUUUAGUGGAAAAGAAAUUUAUUUUUAAUCUUCUUUAUAAUCAAACUCGUCUCAUAAAAUGUAGACGUCAGGAUUAUUUAGCAAUAUCUAAUGUAUUGUAUUUAAAUCGUCGUACUGUUCUCAUACCACUGUAUUGUACUGAGAUUCCAUCGAGCCGGCAGACCUCCUUUCACCAUAUCGGUGGUCAUGUAAGGUUUAUUAUUAUUUAAUUAAUACUCUAUUUCUUUUGUUAUAGAUGGUUUUAGACGAAAUUGAUGCAUAGUCAAUCGGAUUGAUGGUACCAAAUCACUCUUCUACUCCAACCUCCAUUUUAGACUGGCUUUAAAGUUUUUCCUAAUGACUUAACUUUCAUAAAUACAAUUUUUUUGACCAUGAAACUAUAAAAGUGAAAGGUUGGUUGAUUAAUGCUGUUUUUUUUUCUUAUAUGACAUAUGAUUUUGGAUAAGGUUGAUAUAGGAUCUUCCGAACAUACGACACAUGAUAAUCCUCCUUCUCGAACCUUAAAUAACGGAGAUUCUUUAUCCGAAAAAAUCAUCUCAAAAUAUCUGAAACCAUCUCGAGUUAUGUCUUGUGAUAAAAACGUACUAUGUUCGAUAUGCCAAGUAUUUUGAUUUAUUCAUUAACCUCAAAUGAAUGUUUACAUGAGUUUUUAUAGCAAUUGAAAAACAAGUAAUGACUAACAAAACUAACUAUCUAUUUAGUUAACUAACUAAUACAAGCAAUGCCAGUUAUUUUCUCUAAACCAAUGAAUGAAUUUCUAAUCUUAAUUGACAUUUUUUUCUGGAAUCUUUUGAAGAUGAUGAGAAUGUCGGCAGAUUGGAUUGUGACCAUGAGUUCCACUUCAGUUGCAUAAAGAGUUGGUUGAUUAUACAGAAUAAAUGUCCCAACUGUAGAUCAAGUGCGAUCGGCCUUUUAAAUUCACUGUAAGGUUUAUGUUAAAAGAUAGAGCAGUGAAGCAUGGUUCUUUCGAAUGUACUUGACUUUAUUGACCAAUCGAUGAUGAUCUGAGAUGAUCAGAGAUGAUCGUACAUAGAUUGCAUUCAAUCAAUCUGUAUUUUGUAUGAAUGUAAAUAAUGAUUACAAUGUUUAUUUAUAGUGAUUAAUGAUGAGUUAGUUACACUACAACAACUAUUUAGUUAGUUAUGUUACUUAUUGGUGAUACAGUAUCUCGAACCCGGUCACAACCUACCAGCAACUAGAAGUUCGGAUAGCCUAAGAUGAGUUAAGGUACCUAUUCUAGGGUUGGGGAGGUCCGAAGUUGAACCCUUGGAAAAUCGACUUUCCUGAGGAUCGACUUCCCUGGGAUCGACUUCUGAAUAAAGUCGAUCACCAGGAAAGUCGACCCCCAGAAAGUCGAUCUCUGGAAAGUCGAUCUCGGGCCCCAAUCUGAUCAGUUAGGCAGUUAGGCGGUUACUUCCCAAAUGACCAGAUCACCCCCACGAGAACCCCUAUAAAUAGGAGGCAUCCCCACUCAUUAAAGGCAGGUCAUUUGGAGCGAAAGGAUUCCUAGCGAAGCAGAGCUCUGCGCACUUGAGUUCCGGUCCGGUUUCCCGCUUGGCGCUUGCUUGCGCGUCUUGGAGUGUUGGUCGGGUUUCACCCCUAUCACUUAUGUAAAUGGAUUUGAUUUGCCUAAUUCGUAACACCCCCCCUCAAGUGGAGCGGAAGUGAUACCAUAUUGACCAAUCGAUGAUGAUCGGAGAUGAUCGUAGAUUGUAUUCUAUCAAUCCCGACUUAACCACCAGGAGUAAGUUAAGCCGGGCAGGUAAGUGCUUAAUUUUAUCCAAUAAGUAAAUUAUUUAGCCCUACUUAAUCUCAAAAAUAAUUAAUUACAGUAAAUAGAACAAAUAAAAUUUGAGCACGUGGGUCUAUGGGUUUAAACAAAACAAAAAGGAGAUUAUUGCACGUGGGUCUGUGGGUAUUUAGGAAAUUGCAUUGAAACACGCACGUGGGCUAGAACUUAAGUAGGCUGGAAUUUUAAAAUUAAUCCUAGGUAAUAUAAAAUACAAUGCAACGUGGGCUUAAAUAUUUUAAUAUGAUGAUAAUUUGCAUGAAAAAUUCCAAGAUAUUUUUGUUUUUUGGAAAGGGUACUUUAAUAUAAAAGAAAUAGUAUUUUAACAUUUUUAAGACUAAUUAAUCUAAAUCUAACUAAUUAAUUUACCCGCCGGCAGUUAGCCGUUACUAAAUCCCUUCAUCCGUCGCAGUGGAUGAGUAUCAGGAGGGCAUCCCAUUGGAGCAAUGUCCUCCCUUCACUUGGUGUCCGGUGCCUCCUCUUGUAGUUUCUUUCAUCGAAGCCAAUUCCGACCAUGUCGAUGCAAAAUCGGAGGACUACCUGCUUGGGCUCGACCUUGUUCUUGAUUCUUUGGAGGUUACGUUGCUUCCACACUUGGAAUAGAAUCACACCCAACAUUGACCAUUGCAGCCCCCAUGCUGGAGUUCAUGGUAUGAUUUUAUUCAGCACGCCGUCAGCCUCUUCAAAGUUUUUUGCGGCGUCCAGGCUGACCAACGAGCUCGCUGCUUCGAACCCUUCUCUUAGGAUCCAUCUUGAGUACUCACAACUCAAGAAGAUGUGGUGCGCGCUUUCCUGCUCCUUCCCGCACAGUUCAUGUAAAGAGUCCGUAGAUCGUCAUCCCGCGUCGUCUCAGUCUGUCCUUGAUUGGGAGGUUGGCUGACAUGUAUCUCCAAAAAUUGAGCGCGACUUUUGCCAUUUUAACCGCCCAUAUACCUUUUGCAAGUCUAUCCUUUGGGUGAUCCGGACGUAUGGUAGAGACUACAUUCCUGACCAAGCUAGCUGUGUCUUUCCCUAUCUAGCUCUUAACUCCGUUCGAUCCCAGGACCGCGCAUUUUGCAAUUUGGGUUCUCUGACGAAGAGUACGACUAGUUCCAAGAUAAAUGCAAGUACUACAAAUAUAGGACUAGUUUGCAUGAUAAUUUUAAUUCUUACUAUCAUUAUGAAAACAGUAACGGUAAAUGGGAGGGUCACCAUAAAAAAUACGCAAUGUUGUAGGACCAACCUGCAAAAUCUGGGAAAAGUCAUUAAAAAUAUACGUACACGUGGGCACUACUAUAGUCAAUAUAAAAAUAUCAUGGUAGGAAAAGUGAGAAAACGUCAAAUCAGAAAGAAAAAUUACAUUAAAGAAUCAUCACACACAACAAAAAAUACUUAGGGUCAAGGAAGGGAAAACUACAAAAUUACACAUGGGAUGGAGUUGGGUAAAACAACUACACCAAAUUGGAAUAACAACGGAUGAAGUUAGUUACGAAAUUAGGUUAGUUAGUAAUCACAAUCAGUUAAGUAAGAACUGCCUGUAAUUAGUAUAAAUAGAAACACAGAGUAUAUACAAAUACACAAUUCAAGUUUACUACAACGAUUGUUCUUAAUCAUCUUCUUCCUCAACUCCGAUCAACGUCGUGUAAAAUCUCAAUAUGGUAUCAUCGACCGGUAAUGCCGAUGGGGCUAUAGAUUCAGUUUCCACUGCACACAUGGCAUGGAUGGAUUAAAAACCCAGCGUGCUUCCAAAUCUUUUGCAUCUUAUAUAUAUUUAAUUCUGGGAAAACCGUUCCUUGCUUAUCUGUCCACUAUGAAUUUCUGAGGCCAUUAAUCAUUUAUUCAUAUGUCGCUAGCUUAGCAUUAGUAGCUUUAUUCUUGUCCCAUUCUUCUAAUCAUCUGCAACCAAUAAUUAAUUCAUAUCACAGUAUCAAUGUUUAACGAAUGUAUUAAUGUUCAAGUUACAAAUAGAAGAGAGUAAAAAAAAUUAGCUAAACCAACGGAGAGAAAGGGGGGGGGGAAUUAUACUAUGGUUUUAUAUUCUUAAUUUCAUAUAUGAUUGAACUUUAUUUAUGUCAAGCACAUUUAGAUAUAUCAUAGAUUAAAUUUCAUUCCUAAUCUUCUACAAAGAUUUAAGAAAAUAUCAUAUGAUACAACUUUAGUGAAGAUAUCAACCAGUUGUUGGGAGGAGCUUACUUGUAUAAUUUCCAACAAACCUUUAAUGACAAGUUCUCUGACAAAAUGGAUGUCGGUUUCAAUGUGUUUAGAACCUUUCUUUAUAACAGUAUUUUUAGCCAUAAAGAUAGCUGAGUUGUUAUCACUAUUUAUGAGUUGGAUAUAUUUAAGCCUAUGUCCUAAAUGCCUACAAAUAAAGUGUGACCAUCUCAUUUCAGCUGCCAAAGAUGCUACGGCUCUAUAUUCCGAUUCUGCACUUGAUCUAGAAACUGUAUUUUGUUUCUUUGAUGACCAGUUAACAAGAUUUUCACCAAUGAAGAGAUAGUAUUCAGAUGUGGAUUUCCUUGUAUCUGGGUCGCCUGCAAAGUCAGCUUCACAGAAUCCUACCAUCCUGUGAUGAUCAUUCAUAUUUUUUGAAAAAUGAAGCCCAUGACUGAGUGUGCCUUUUACAUAUCUCAUAAUUCUCUUUGCCGCAAUCAAGUGUGAGGUUUUUGGUUCAUUAACAAAUUAGGAAACCUGAUUAAUAGAGUAUGUGAGAUAUGGCCUAGUGAGUGAUAAAUAUUGUAAAGAGCCUACUAGUGCUCUAAAACUAGUCCCUUCAUCCUUAGACAAUUUUGAGUUUGGAAGAACAGGGUAUUUACACGGUUUGCAGUUCAACAUAUUAUUUUUACCUAAAAUGUUAAUUGCAUAUCUUGAUUGAUUUAGUUCGAGAGAUUCAUCAAAAUUAUGAAUCACUUCCAUUCCUAGAAAUUUUUUUAGCAGACCAAGAUCUCUACAUAUGAAUUCUUGACAUAAAUGUUUGAUGAAUUUUUCAACUUAAUUCAUUACUGUUAUUUCCAGUAAUGAUUAAGUCAUCCACAUAUAUUAUAACCCAAAUGAGUAUGUUAUCUUGGUUAUAUACAAACAAUAAGGUAUCUGCUUGACUGUUUGUAAAUUCAUUUAAAACUAAGAAACUUCUAAGUCUGAAAUACCAAGCCUUAGGAGCUUGUUUAAGUCCAUAUAUGGAUUUAUUUAGAUGACAUACUAAACUUGAAUGUUCAGGUUCUACAAAUCCUGGAGGUUGAGCGAUAAAAACUUUUUCUUUUAGUUCUCCUUGUAAGAAAGCAUUCUUGACAUCAAUUUGCCUAAGCCUAUAAUUUCUAUUUACUGCUAGAGACAGGACAAUCCUAAUAGUUGAUGAUUUAACUACUGGACUAUAUAUUAAUCCAUAGUCAAUAUUUUCUUGUUGUUUAAACCCUUGUGCCACUAAUCUGGCCUUAUAUCUUUCUACUGUCCCAUCUGAUUUUCUCUUAACCUUGAAAAUCCAUUUGGUUCCAAUUACAUUCAUGUUUUUUUAGCAGGAACUGGUGAGACAUGUCUGAUUACGUCAGUCACUCCCAGGAACGCCCUUCAACAAGGACUAGGGUUCCGUCGCUUUAUGCCGGACCCCCGAAGAGAUCCACGGUGCGGAGUAAGUGUUUACUUCAAGUAUUAAAGGCAACACCUGGUAAUUGCCGACUGGGACUACCAAGUCGCUGAUUCCAGGAGUGCAUCGUCGCCUCCAGACAGGGCACUCGGGUCUGGUAGACCGAGGACCUGACCACAAGGGAGUCGGCGACUCCACCUCUGAAUCGACGACUCCCAUACCUGAGUCGCCGAUUCCCAGCCAUUACUUGGGAGGGCCCACGUCAUUAUGACACCCUUAAUUGGACACCAUAAUGGAGUGGGCCCCAUGCUAAUGAAUGGGGAAGCGCCCCCAAGACCCUAUAAAAGGGGUCCUUGGGGGUCCUCCACUCCCAGGUCAUUCCCACUUGACAGACCCCAACCAGAGCAAACUAAGGAGACCGAGUCGCCGACUCCCACGUGAGUCGCCGAUUCCCCUCCUCUUCUACAGGUACAUUGACGUAGACUCCAAAGGCUCCGGCCUUCCUCGCUGUUGGAUCGAGAUCCGAGGCUAUAAGGGGGGAUAAUAGCCUCUUUUCGAUUUAUGCAAGUUAAUAGCGGAAUUACCUGCACACACUUAAGUACACAUUGAUAUAUUGAUAAGCAAGUAAAUGACCAGAUAACUGGAUAUAUUGAUAAGCAAGUAAAUGACCAGAUAACUGGAUAUAUAUAUGAUAAGUAAAUGCUUGAACAAAUAUAUGAAUAAGGAUUUAAAGCAAUUAAUAUAACCUCAGAUAGUUGACCAGAUAACUGGAUGAGGGAUCUGCGUAAAGUAGUCAACCUCUGUAUUUGACCAGAUAACUGGAAGAGAGAUCCUUUUCAAUUAAGUGUUGUUUAGUUGUUUUUGAUGAAAGAUAAAAACUAGAGUUAACAAAGAACAACACAAGAGAUUUAUACUGGUUCACCCAAACAAGGGCUAGUCCAGUCCCGACCAACUGUCAGAAUUCACUCACCUAAAGGUUAUGGCAAAACCUUAGAGUAUCAAGGAAACUCUUAAGAACCUCUCUAAGCUUUAAGGCUAGUUCGCUUAGGAACCAGUCUUUUACGGGUAGACUCACACCUUAGAGUAUCAAGGGCACUCUUAAGAACCUCUAACUUUUGCGGGUAAGUUAGUACCUUAGAGUAUCAAGGAACUCUUAAAAACCUCUCUAAGCUUUAAGGCUACUUCGCUUAGAAACCAGUCUUUUACGGGUAGACUCACACCUUAGAGUAUCAAGGGCACUCUUAAGAACCUCUAACUUUUACGGGUAAGUUAGUACCUUAGAGUAUCAAGGAACUCUUAAAAACCCUGAAAUCUUUCAAGGUAGACUCGACCUAAGAGUUUUCCCGGAAACUCUAUAAAACCAAACUAGAGCUUUAUGGUUGAGCUCAAAAACCUUCUCUCACACUUUGGUACUAUUGAGACAACCCUCUCAACCAAAGUGGACACACACAAGAGGUGAUUAGAGGAGUGGAAUAUUAAAGCAAACAACACUUCUUACUUGUAAAGAUGAACAAGAAGAUUAGAAGAAGAAGUUGGAGAGCUUUUGAAGCUUUGGAAAGCUAGGACACUUGAGCACUUGAAAGCUUGGAAGCUUGGAGGCAAAAACGUGUGGGCAAGUGUGGAGUGAAAGCUCUUGAGUUUGCUUGUAGUGUGGUAAGUGAAAAUGAGGGGUUUACCCUUCUAUUUAUAGCCUUGGCCACUCAAUGUCCACCCUUGGAUCUUCAAUGGAUGGCUCCUUGAUUUCUCACAUAAAUCCAAGCUUUGUCUUUGAUCUUAUCUUGAAUAGUGCUUUUAUUGGAUAGAGUUUGUUGGAGAAUCUUAUCUUUGUAUAAAUUCAAACUUGAAUAGUGUUUUGUCCCCUUGGAAUAUUAUACCUUGAAUAAAGUGUCAAAAGAUAAUAAUAAUAAUAUUCAAGGUAAAAAUGCAAUUAUUUCAAAUAAUAUUCAAGGUGAAAAUGCAAUUAUUCCAAAUAAUAAUAUUCAAGGUUAAAAUGCAAUUCUCCCAAUUUGACUUUUAACUUUGACUUAAACCCUUAACUCAAAUGAUUAAUUAAUUAACUGGAGUUAGGUUUAAUAUCGAUUGACUUAUUUAAACCCUAUUGAUUAAUAGUGUAAUUAGGGUUUAAAUUGACAUGAUUAAAAUAUAAUCCUAUGUCGACAAUUUUGAUUCUACAUUCUCCCCCUUUGUCGAUGGCAUAUAUGUUUUAACUCAUGUCUAGUCAAUAUUCUAUUUUACCCUUAUGAACAUGCUCCCCCUGAAUUAUUGACCCAUAAUAUUCAAUUUAAAAGCCGUGGAUCAUGCAUGAUUUCUCCCCCUUAAAACAAUAAGAUAUCGACAAAGUUAAAAAUAGAUACCUGUGAAGUAUCUCCCCCUUAAUGAUAGGACAUAUCUAAUUUGUGGAGAAAAUAAAAUUUCAUACCUUAUUGAGCUUUGAUCACAAAUUCGAUUUGUGUGGUUGACCAAAUGUGACGUCUUGCUUAUAAGAGUGUUAGUCAAUCAUAUAGGAGAAAUAACAUGUAAUUUAUGCUCAUUGAUAAAAUAUUAGAUUGAAGCCAAUUUUGAUAUACAUUAUAAGGCAAGUAUGAUAUGAUAAUUUAAAUUGCCUUGUGUUAAGAUCAUGCAAUGAAUAAUAAUCCAUGUGUAUGUUAUGGAUGAAGAUGAUCUUAACAUGUAUGGAUUAAAGAUUUUAUAAUGUUGUAAUCCAUAAGAUAUUAGUGAAUGAUAUGUAUAAAUCCAUAAUAUUCACUAAUUGCUUUAAGAAGAAAUUGAGCAUUUAAAAUUUUAAAAUCUAUGUCUUAGUGACAAAUAUAAUCAUGUAAAUAUUCACUAAGUUUUAAAAGAUUUAAAAUUUUCAUUUCAGUCCUUAAAGCCUUAGUAGUAAAACUUCACUUAAAACAAAAUUUCAUUUAAGCCCUUUGAAGUUAUGAUAAAUACUUAUAUUAAUACUUGAAAUAUUUCAUUUAAACCUUGGUAGUAUUAACUAUUUCUAAGCACUUUUUAAUUUGAAAACUUCAUGUAAAUAUUAAUUUUAAAUCCCUGAAGUUUUAACUAGAUAUUUAUUCACUGUAAAGAUAUCAUUUUGACCCUUAAGUUUUAGUGAAUCUAUUUAAAACUUAAAAACUUCAUAAACGAUUUAUGUCUAAGUCCUUGAAGUUUCACAUAACUCUAUAUUCACUGGAAAAAAUAUCAUCUUAAUCCUUAAGUUUCAGUGAAUCAUUUUAAACUUAGAAACUUCAAAAAUAAUUUAUGUUUUAGUUUCCAAGAAUUUCUUGGUUUGACUAAGCCAUGAAAAAUCGUUUUAUCUUGUAGUCUCCUUCUCAAAAGAGAGUUCUUUGAUUUCCCAUGUACUGACAUGACUUGUUAGGUUUAACAAGUAAUGAGAUUUUGAAACUAUCAUCUAAGAGCUAGCUAGGAUCUUAGCAAGGCUUGUAUUUUAGUAGCUUGUAUCCAGAAUAAUAUUUAAUUUAAAACAUACUUUUUGGUGGUCUUCAACGCAUUCUUUGCACUAUGCACGAUAGUCCAUGCUCCUAGCUGUCGUGAGUGACUAGUUGCGACAGGUUUUCUGGAUGAAGUUGCAGCAUCGAGGUUGCAGAAUGUGCAGACGACGAUUCUCAAUGCCAUGAGGUAAGGUUUGAAUUACCAAUACCAUGUGAUGCUGAUUUUGCUCAAAGUAGGAAAUAGUCUCAUGUAGUAUGUGUGCAACAUAGAAUUAAUCUUAUAAUUUUCUCAAUUAUAUGUAUGUGAUGACAUGGAAUAUGCAUGAUUUAAAUAGUUAUAUACAUAAGUCAAAAUUAGCUGUUUUGAUCAUCAUGUAUUUAAGUAUUUCAUAUCAUUAUGCAUGUAUAUAAUUCAUAGAUUCAUGCAUGUCAUAAGAUUCAUAAAUAAAUAUUAGCAUGCAUGUAUAAGAUAAUAAUAGUAUCAUGCUAAACUCAAACCAUGUAUCUUAUAUUUUUAAAGACCACAUACGUGUACAUGCAUAAUAUUGCAAUAUUUACUUUGCCAGACAUGCAUUUAUCAGAUAGUUAUUUGAAUCAUGUAGUUUCUAGUAGCAUGGUGAACAUGUAGGCAUGUAUUAACAUGAUUCUAUUGAUAUAUAUGAUAGUCAUAUAGUCAAGUUAAGCUCUUCAUUUUAUGCAUGCAUAUGAUGAAUUAUAUGUAUAUACUUAGUCAUGUAAAUCUUAGAUUUGUAAAUUUAUGCAUACGUAUAUUUAUUUUAAUGUGAUUAUGAUCAAGGUUAUAAGUAUAAAGAUAUUCAGGUAAAGAAUACUAAAGCUUGAGAUGCAUUCACUCAUAACUAAUCAAAUUUCACUAAGCUCACAUAUACCCAUAGAUCUUCUGAUUUUUGAAUGAACUUCUUGAUCUAAGGGUUUAGUGAAGAUGUCAGCCAUUUGAUCUUCAGUAGAAAUAUAUUCUAGGCAUAUAUUUUUCUUUUCUACAUGAUCACUAAGGAAAUGAUGUCUGACAUCAAUGUGUUUAGAUCUUGAAUGUAACACAGAGUUUUUUGAUAAACAAAUUGCACUCUUGUUGUCACAUUUAAGAGCUACUGUUUCUAAAGCUAUAUCGUAGUCGGAUAAUGUUUGUUUCAUCCACAAAAUUUGAGUGCAUGCAUUAGAUGCUGCCAUAUAUAUAUUCUGCUUCAGUUGUGGAUAAAGCAAUACUAUUUUGCAUUUUACAUGACCAUGCUACGAGUGAGCUUCCCAACAGAAAGCAUGUUUCACUAGUGCUUUUUCUGUCAGUCUUACAUCCACCAAAGUCAGCAUCACAGUAUGCUGUCAGUGUGAAUGAAUUGUCCUUAGGGUAGAAUAAUCCAAGUGUAAUUGUUCCUUUGAUAUACCUGAUUAUUCAUUUAACCGCUUUGAGACGUGACUCUUUUGGGUCUGAUUAGAAUCUGGCACAUAAGCAGACUGCAAACAUGAUGUCUGGUCUGCUGGCUGUUAGGUAUAGCAGUGAUCCAAUCAUUCCUCUGUAUUUCUUAAUGUCUACUGAUUGACCUUCAACAUCUUUAUCCAAUUUAAGUGUUGAACUCAUCGGAGUUGGCAUAGAUUUAGAUUCAGCCAAGUCAAAUUUCUUUAUCAAUUCCAUAGCAUAUUUGACUUGACUUAGGAAUAUUCCAUUCUCCUUCUGUUUGACUUGUAGACCUAAGAAAAAAGUCAACUCUCCCAUCAUACUCAUUUCAAAUUCGUCUUCCAUUUGUUUGGAAAAUUUCUUACAUAGAGUAUCAUCGGUUGAUCCAAAUAUAAUGUCAUCAACAUAGAUUUGAAUUAGAAUAAUGUCACUUUUGACAUUUUUAAUGAACAAUGUAUUAUCUAUACUCCCCAUUCUAAAUUCCUGAGAAAUGAGAAAGUUUCUUAGUCUUUCAUACCAAGCUCGGGGUGCUUGUUUCAGACCAUAGAGGGCUUUCUUAAGUUUAAGGACAUGAUCAGGGUUUUUGUAAUCUUCGAAACCGGGGGGUUGUCUAACAUAUACUUGUUCAUUGACUAUUCCAUUCAAGAAUGCACUCUUUACAUCCAUUUGAUAUAAUUUGAAAUCUUUGUAACAUGCAAAGGAUAGGAGCAUUCUGAUAGACUCUAGUCUAGCUACUGGUGCAAAUGUUUCAUCAUAAUCAAUUCCUUCUUGUUGAUUGUAUCCUUGCGCAACCAGUCUAGCUUUGUUUCUGAUUAUAGUUCCAUCUUCAUCCAGCUUGUUUCUGAAUACCCAUCUUGUCCCAAUGAUUGAUGUAUCUUUUGGUUUUGGAACUAGUUCCCAUACAUCAUUUCUCUCAAAUUGGUUGAGUUCUUCUUGCAUAGCUUGAAUCCAGUAGUUGUCGUCGAGGGCUUCAUCAACUUUCUUGGGCUCAAUUUGAGAGACAAAACAGUCAAGAACACUGUUUCCUUGAAUGGAUGAUCUGGUUUUAACACCAGCUUGAUGGUCACCAAUGAUUUGAUCAGUGGAAUGUGGGUUCCUGAGCAACCUGUUGGAUGGAGGCUCAAAGACUUCGAUUUCGACAUUGGUAGUUUCUUCAGUUGGAAUGAUGAUUUCUGGUUCUGGAACUAUUUCAUCUUCUUCUACAAUGGUUGUCUGAGUGGAUUCAUCAAAGCCAACGUGUAAUGAUUCGAUCAUUAUUUGUUUUUCUUUGAGAAGAAUUUUGUAGACUUUGCUCCUUCUAGAGUAUCCUACCAGGAUACCUUCAUCAAAUUUCUGAGCAAAUUUGUCUUGGUUGCCUCUUGUUCGGAGAACUAACAUUUGCAUCCAAAGACCUUGAAGUAUGAGACUUUUGUCUUUCUUCCAUUCCAGAUCUCAUAUGGAGUUUUGUUAAAGGUUUUUCUAAUAAUCACCUUGUUUAAUAUAUAACAGGCUGUGUUAACAGCUUCUGCCCAGAGAUACUGUGGUGAAUCAUGUUCUUGUAACAUGGAUCUACUCAUCUCUUGUAGAGUUCUGUUUUUCCUUUCAACAACUCCAUUCUGAGGGGGUGCUUGGGGAAAAGCAAAUUCAUGUUUUAUUCCAUGAGUUUUGCAAAAUUUUUCAAACUCAGAGUUCUCGAAUUCUCCUCCAUGAUCACUUCUGAUUCUUUUUAUGAGAACAUCCUUCUCAUUUUGUACACGUGUACAAAAUGAUGAGAACUCGUUGAAUGAGUCACUUUUAUUUCGUAAGAAGAAAACCCAAGUAAAUCUUGAGUAAUCAUCUACUAUUACAUACGUAAACCUUUUACCGCCAAGACUUUGGGUUUGGGUUGGCCCAAAUAAGUCCAUGUGUAAAAGUUCCAAAGGUCUGGACGUAGUAAUAUCUGUAAGGGAUUUGAAUGAGCUUUUAUGCUGUUUCCCCUUUUGACAAACAUCACAAAGAUUACUUUUCUCAUAUGCUAUUUUAGGCAGUCUAGUCACCAGUUCUUCUUUUGAUAGUUUGGAUAAUCGAGAAUAACUGAUGUGACCUAACCUUCUAUGCCAUAAUGUCUUUUCAUCACUUGCUGCAAUCAUGCAGAAGUCAUGAGUUGGCUUGGAGGGAUUAAAGGUUAUGGAAUAAGCAUUGUUUUUCCUAUAUCCUUUAGCAAUUAUAACUCCCUUGGAGUUAAUGAUUGAGCAUAAAUGUUUUUCAAAUUUAACUGUGCAAUCAUUAUCAUAUAAUUGGCUUAUGCUGAUAAGAUUAUGUUUAAGGCCAUUAACUAAGUAAACAUCUCUAAGAAAUGGUCUAUCUAUAUUACCUAUAUUACCCCUACCUAUAAUGGUACCUUCGUUGUUAUCGGCGAACUUGACCUUCUUAGUAGUAGGCCAGUCGGUCAAGUCUGUCAGUAGACUUGAAUUUCCAGUCAUGUGCCUUGUGCAUCCACUGUUGAACAGCCAUUUUGACACAUGUUUUUCCUGAAAGAGUUGAAUAACCUUUUGGUACCUAUACUGAGUUGGGUCCAGAUGAAUUAACAUAGUUGAUUUGCUUAUAAUUUUUUAACUCAUUCUUGGUCAUCCAUUUUUGUUUUGGAUGAUUCAUCUUCGAUAGAUCUUUCUUUUUUUUAAGAUGAAUAGGUUUUCUGUAGCUAGAUUCUCUUACAAAAUAAUCAUUAUAUGUUAAAGCAUGUAAAGGUUUUUUAAUAGGUGUAUUUGAUUCAAACCCUAAGCCAAAUUUCUUUUAACCUGAGCUUGAACCUUGCAACAUGUCAUUUAGCUUAGAUGAACUAUUUAAGAAUUUUUCAAGAACAUUAUUCUUCUGACCUAUUCUUUUGAUUUGUAAUUGCAUAUCAUUACAUUUUUCAGAUAAUUAUUGUAUAGUUUGUACAUGCUCAAGUAUGAUUUUGUCCUUAAAUUCUAUUUCUGUUUUGAGCAUAAUUGUUUCUUUUUCUUUUAACAUAAUAUCUUCUUCAAAAUUAUCUAUUUUUAAUUCUAGCAAUUCAAUCUUAUCAUCAUCCAUUUCCUUAGAUUGAUUUUCUUCAGAUUCUAAAAUGUUAAGCAAUUCAAAGUUUUGACUCUUAAGUAUCUUAAUUUUUUCUUCAUCUUUGUUUAAUUUACUUGUGAGUUUUAGAUUUCUUUCUUUCAAUUGCAUGCAUUCUUUUUGUGAUUCUUCUAAUUCAAUAGAUUGAUCUAUAUGUGAUUUAUUCAUGCAUUCUAGUUUUAAUGACUUAGUUAAUUUGUUCUCAUUUUUAUAUUUUCCCAUUAAUUCUAGAUAUGCUUCUUCUAAAGAAUUAAAUCUAGUAUUUGCAAAACUCACCUCAGAGUUGCUUUCAUGAGCCAUGAGACAAUCUUCUUGAUCCGAGUCGGAGUCUGUCCAUUGUGCUUGAUUUGCUCUUUCUUUCUUUAGCAGAGGACAUUCUGGUUUGAUGUGUCCAGACUUGUCGCAUAGACAACAGGUUGGUUCUUUUGACUCCUUGCUCAUUCUUCCGUCGAACUUCUGAUGACUUGAUCUUGAGUCUUUCUUCUCUUUCCUCUUUUUCUGAUAUCUUCUCAGAUGAUUUGUGAUCAUUCCUAGAUCAUCUUCUGAUGUUUCAUUGUCAGAUUGACUUUUAAAAGCAAUAUCCUUUUUCUCUUCUUUAGCUCUAGAGAUGAAUCUUUCUUCUUCAUAGGCCAUCAGAUUUCCACAGAGUUUCACAACUGUAAGUUUAUUGAGAUCAUGAACCUCUUGGAUAGCAUUCCUUUUGGAGUAGUACUUGUUUGGAAGGCUCCUCAGAAUUUUGCUUACUUGCUUCUUCUCAGUUAUUAGAUCUCCUAGUCCAGCUAGAUCAUUAACUAUUUGUGAUAGUCUAAUGUUCAUCUCUGCGAUAGUCUCGUCUUCCCUCAUAGAGAAUCUUUCGAACUGAGAGGUAGCAUGUAACAGCUUGUUUUCUUUAACAUGGGAGGUUCCUUCAUGUAUAUCCUCCAAUGCUUUCCAUACCUUGUGAGCUGUAUCCAAGCAUCGAAUUCUGCUGUACUCAGAUUCAUUGAGUGCUCCAUAUAGAGCAUUCAAUGCUCUUGAGUUGUUGUUUUCCUUGAGAAUGUCCAUUUCUCCCCAAGUCUCUUCAUUGCUUGUUGGAAUUUCAUAAUCCUCUAAUAUGAUCUUCCAUACUCCAUUGUUGAUUGACUUCAAGUAUAACUUCAUCUUGUUCUUCCAGAAGUCAUACUUUACUCCAUCGAACCUGGGAGGUUUGUUUGACGCAAGACCAGUGUUGAAUUCACCAUUUGGUGCCAUAAUUGUUGUUGUAAGAUGUUAGUCAAACUUCAACGGUACUUGGCUCUGAUACCACUUGUUGGAUCGAGAUCCGAGGCUAUAAGGGGGGAUAAUAGUCUCUUUUCGAUUUAUGCAAGUUAAUAGCGGAAUUACCUGCACACAUUUAAGUACACAAAUGGUUGUAUAAUAAUAGUAUAAUAUUGUUAGCAAUAUAAUACUGGUUCACCCAAACAAGGGCUAGUCCAGUCCCGACCAACUGUCGGAAUUCACUCGCCUAAAGGUUAUGACAAACCUUAGAGUAUCAAGGAAACUCUUAAGAACCUCUCUAAGCUUUAAGGCUACUUCGCUUAGGAACCAGUCUUUUACGGGUAGACUCACAUCUUAGAGUAUCAAGGGCACUCUUAAGAACCUCUAACUUUUGCGGGUAAGUUAGUACCUUAGAGUAUCAAGGAACUCUUAAAAACCUCUCUAAGCUUUAAGGCUACUUCGUUUAGGAACCAGUCUUUUACGGGUAGACUCACACCUUAGAGUAUCAAGGGCACUCUUAAGAACCUCUAACUUUUACGGGUAAGUUAGUACCUUAGAGUAUCAAGGAACUCUUAAAAACCUCUUAAAUCUUUCAAGGUAGACUCGACCUAAGAGUUUUCUCGGAAACUCUAUAAAACCAAACUAGAGCUUUAUGGUUGAGCUCAAAAACCUUCUCUCACACUUUGGUACUAUUGAGACAACCCUCUCAACCAAAGUGGACACACACAAGAGGUGAUUAGAGGAGUGGAAUAUUAAAGCAAACAACACUUCUUACUUGUAAAGAUGAACAAGAAGAUUAGAAGAAGAAGUUGGAGAGCUUUUCAAGCUUUGGAAAGCUAGGACACUUGAGCACUUGAAAGCUUGGAAGCUUGGAGGCAAAAACGUGUGGGCAAGUGUGGAGUGAAAGUUCUUG
RNAcentral lists this long non-coding RNA (42803 nucleotides) under Zostera marina. RNAcentral's name for it is "long non-coding RNA (ZMAR_LNC001090)". The record is from RNAcentral. Lineage: Eukaryota; Viridiplantae; Streptophyta; Magnoliopsida; Alismatales; Zosteraceae.